GGAGAGAUGGCCGAGCUGGUCGAAGGCGGUCGCCUGCUAAGCGAUUAAACGAGUUAAGCCUCGUUUCGUGGGUUCAAAUCCCACUCUCUCCGCCA
Molecule: transfer RNA, 95 nt
Filed under: Bacillota bacterium
Lineage: Bacteria; Bacillati; Bacillota
Description: Firmicutes bacterium (anaerobic digester metagenome) tRNA-Ser
Rfam family: tRNA
About the family: Transfer RNA (tRNA) molecules are approximately 80 nucleotides in length. Their secondary structure includes four short double-helical elements and three loops (D, anti-codon, and T loops).
Source: RNAcentral